GUUUUUUUUAAAGUAUAUUAUCAGCAAGCCUCUACUGGUAGUAACUGUUAAAAAUGGAUAUUGAAUAAAUGUUAACCAAUCUUUUCCUAAAGAUCGCGGCACAAAAGAUACUGAAACGCUUCACUUGUUGUAUCAAUAAAACACACGCAAUCGAUCAGGCAAUAGGUGGUGGGUAAAUCUUUCAUUCACGUAAUUAUUCAGAAGCUCUCAAAAGAUUAUGAAUUGCGAUUCUUGCAUUUAGUAAUGGACAAAUGCGAUCAGUGAAAAAGUAGAUUUUUGAAGAUUACGUUGAGCUUUUUCUUCCAACAAAAGUAGUGCUGUAAUACUGUUUUAGUUUGCGCCAUCGGUUCGCUACUAGAUCUGCCAAUUGAGCUAUUGUUCGUGAACCCUACUAAAACAAACUGACUGGAUUAACCCCACGUUAGCUACAUGCAUUGAGUGGCGUUCAGACGGUUGACAUGAACAGUCACUUUGCCAGAAUUCACCAACAGAGUCGGAGAAAGGAGGAACCUGCACCCGUUGGACCAGAACCUGCCCCAGGCGGAGUGGGUGCUGCUGAAGGUCAUCAAGCGAAAGUGGUCGGAGCCAAGGUGGACGGGUCCUCAUCAGGUGGUGGAGAGAACGAGCCAUGCGGUCCGCCUGAGGGACAAAGGAGAGACGUGGUACCAUUGUAGCCAGUAUACACCAGCGCAGGAGCCAGGGAGCUCAUCCAAACCGGGAAGGAGGAGCUUGCCCCAGUGUGGACGGAAGGAGGACCAAAACCAGCUGGACCGGUGCCAGGAGCGGACCCCAGGAUACUGCGGGACUACGAGCGAGAGAAUGAGACAAAGGACGGCACCAGGGGAAUAGACUUUUAGGGGAAGGAACUGAAGAAUACUGUAACAAAAGGGGGUAUAGGACACCGAGUGGCUCCUACCACUCAUAUCAAGAUGACAGGGUUACAGAGAAAGGCCUGGGGAGAUGAUGAUAGAAUGAAGUGGUAUAUGGACAUUGGUGGAAUAAUGAUAUGUGUGUUGUAUGUUGCUACAGGUUUCCCAGGUUGGCAUCGGGUCUUCAUUCCCCCAGCGAAGAGGUCCGCGACCCCACCUGAGGACACCUGCUUGGGGGCAUUGAAUUGAACUAUGUCAAGGGGUCGCAUACGAGCAUUCUGGGAUAGACAACCCGCUGGAGGAAUGGAUGACCUCGAUGUUCGGCCAGUGGAAAGGUUUGAUAAUGUCUGUUCUUUUAUCGCUUGCUACAUUUUGUGCUUUAAUGGUGACUUGCAGGUGUUGUAUCCCAUGCAUAAGAGGGCUCACCAUGUGGGUGAUCUCUAUAGCCAUUGAGAAGGCUCCAGGACCGCCACCAGGGAUGCUGAUGCCUCUACUGGAGCAGCUCGACCUGGGAGAACUGGAGCUUGGCGAAUAGGGGUGAUCUCUCUGGGGAGAGAUCAAAAGGGGGAAUUGUGGAUACAUUGAGUGAAUAAGCUGUCAAACUGUUGUGAGCAUUGAAGCAAAAUGUUGAAUGUCUGUAGCAUAAGCUGAGACUGAUUUAGGCUGUUGCUGGGGAACAAGAGGAGACUGAGCUUGUGUGUCAGAUUACAGGAAACAGGGGGGCAGAUUAAUAACGCACACACAUAUUCUGGGCAGGGCUGAAUUAAGAAUAGACAAGACCGAAACCACAAAGUGCAAAGAUGAUGCUUGUACUGCAUUUACACAUAUAAGGUAUAAAACAUAAACUGGACCAAUGGCACACAUGCUUGGCAUAUUUAACCCCCACUUUUAGGCUUGUUUGAAGUAUAAAUAUUGCUGAUGUGACUGUGAUUGAUCUUUAGACAUUGUGCGGCGACACUCUGUCUCCAAAAGCUUUUGUAAUAAACGGAAUAUACGGUACGGUAAUUGACCUGACUCCUGGUGUGUUAUUCUCCUUUCCAACAAACCAACUCGGGGAAGCGUUAGAUUUCAACAGUGUCCUAGGUCUUCCCCAGGAUCUCCUCCCGGUGGGACGGGAAGGCGUUCAGGAGGCAUCCGGAACAGAUGCCCAAGCCACCUCAGUUGACCCUUCUCAAUGUGGAGGAACAGCGGCUCUACUCUGAGCUCCUCCCGGGUGACCAAGCUUUUCACCCUCUCUCUAAGGGAUCGCCCAGCCACCCUGCGGAGAAAGCUCAUUUUGGCCACCUGUAUCCGGG
This is a long non-coding RNA of Esox lucius (northern pike), 2164 nucleotides long. Lineage: Eukaryota; Metazoa; Chordata; Actinopteri; Esociformes; Esocidae. The record is from Ensembl.